This is a long non-coding RNA of Siniperca chuatsi (mandarin fish), 1790 nucleotides long. RefSeq lists it as uncharacterized. NCBI's taxonomy places the organism in Eukaryota, Metazoa, Chordata, Actinopteri, Centrarchiformes, Sinipercidae. The record is from RefSeq and is a predicted model, not a curated record. The transcript is spliced from 4 exons.
AGUGAAGAGGAGUGGCUGGAGAGAACAUGACAGACUGUGACACACACAAAAACUGCUGGGUUAAAAAAUAACCCAACUUUAACCCCACUGCUGGGUAACUAUGGGACAGAACACACUCUGGGUUGGUUUGACCUAAGUGCUUUUUGGACUGUGUGGCUGCGGUGUCAAUUAAAUCGGAUAGAAGAGAGUCCUUUCGCAGUUCAUCUGAGAGCUGUCAGAUAUCUUCCUUGAGCAUGUGCUCACAAUUGCGCACAGGAGCCCAAGCUACCAAGCACCCGUGUAAUCGAGGCCUGUGACCACAAGCCUCCAGAAGAGCUUCAGUGCUCCUUGUCACAGACGUUGGAGGGAUGAACAGCACCUGUGGAUGGGGACACUGUAAACCUGGAGGAGACCGCUCCCAUAAGUAGAGAAGGCUUUCAUCGUAGGAUAAAGGUUGAUCAUUGUAAGAUUCCUGGAUGCAGCAGUAAAGGACGCGAUCAUCAGGCAGGCAUGGAGCCAGGGUCAGAUUCAUUUCCAAGAAAGGCGAAUAUUCUUCAACCAAGACUACUCUCCUGACCUUCAGAAGAAAAGAGCAAAAGUCUACGAAGUCAUCAAAGAGCUACGAAAGAAGGGAAUACAGGCAAAAUGCAUAUAGCCGGCGGAACUAAGACUGAAACUCAACACCGGGGAGAAAACAUUUGCGACGCUGAUGGAUGCAACAACAAAGCUGAAGGAGCUGGACAUUGAGGUACGCUGUGGAGAGAGGGAGAAAAUAGAAGAAGAGCUGAAAGAAAGGCCAGGAAGCAAGAGACGAGACACAGUACUGUCGAUACGUGACACUAAGGCUCUGAUUCAAGAAGAAGUGUAAAGUACUUCAAAAUAAGACAAUAAAACAACCUCAUGGAUGGCCCUGAAGAAUGCAAUGAAGAAACAAACAUUUGAAACCGACGGCAUAUGGGAGAAGACUUGUGCUACCUGACUUCUAUUUAUUUCAAUGGAUAUAGUUGCUUAUAUGCCUGCAUCUCACUGCGUGUGCACUCUUUGAUGUUUAUUCAGCUAAAGAUCAACAUAAGCUGUGCCAGCUUGAGAAAACAGUUUUAUGUGAUUACAGUAUAAUAAUUUAUUUUAUUAUCUUGAGACAGAAACGUGUUUAUCAUGGAAUCAAAACUUAUGGUAACUUACCAAGUUGCCACGUAAAUGUGUUGACCAAUUUCGAUUUAAAUUUUGUGACGUUCUAAAUAUUGUCACUACUAUGGUGCUCUGCAAAACCAUUAAUGUUGUUGUAGUGACACAACAGAAAUGUUACCAUCAGUCAGAGUCACUCUCUACCUGCUUUUCACGGUGUACUGUAUGUGUACACCAUGGUGGUUGCUUUACUGUUGCUUUGGGCCACUGCAUGUAGAAAUAAAUCUGACACAGGUGUUUACAUGACCCAUGAUCACAUAGAGUGAACCAGGUUAAUGCUUACUCUGAUUAGAACCUUAGACAUAAGGUAAGCAGGUACAGUAAAGGCAUUUACAUGACAGUUCUGAUAGUCAGGAGUAUUUACUUAAUCAGGGUAGGAUUGGUGAGUAAUUAGUGUCCAAAUGUGCUCACUGAUCUCCAGCCAAAAAACAAAUACUCCACUUUGCCAGGAUUUUCAGUCAAGACAGAUGCAAUUGGAUGAAAUCCCUACACCUCUGGCUGUAUAAUGUCCACAGAGACCUGUCAAUGUUGUUGUAAGGGUGCCAUGGCACAGGAGGUAGAGCGUUCGUCUAGUAAGCUUCCUGGUUCGAUCCCCGACUCCUGCAGAGAGACCUUGAGAAAGACAC